This 253-nucleotide ribosomal RNA is filed under the name uncultured bacterium. RNAcentral describes it as "partial 16S ribosomal RNA". It matches the Rfam family "Bacterial small subunit ribosomal RNA", at positions 524 to 776 of the family's 1533-position model. The record is from RNAcentral.
UACGUAGGGUCCGAGCGUUGUCCGGAAUUACUGGGCGUAAAGAGCUCGUAGGUGGUUUGUCGCGUUGUUCGUGAAAACUCACAGCUUAACUGUGGGCGUGCGGGCGAUACGGGCAGACUUGAGUACUGCAGGGGAGACUGGAAUUCCUGGUGUAGCGGUGGAAUGCGCAGAUAUCAGGAGGAACACCGGUGGCGAAGGCGGAUCUCUGGGCCAUUACUGACGCUGAGGAGCGAAAGCGUGGGGAGCGAACAGG